This 289-nucleotide unclassified non-coding RNA is filed under the name plant metagenome. RNAcentral's name for it is "partial contains small subunit ribosomal RNA, internal transcribed spacer 1, and 5.8S ribosomal RNA". The stretch from base 1 to 54 matches the Rfam family "Eukaryotic small subunit ribosomal RNA", at positions 1778 to 1831 of the family's 1831-position model. The record is from RNAcentral.
GGUAGUAAAAGUCGUAACAAGGUUUCCGUAGGUGAACCUGCGGAAGGAUCAUUAUCGUACAAAAUGUGAGGGGCAUGCGAGGGCUGUCGCUGACCCAAAAGUCGCGCACGCCCGAGUGUGUCCUCUUGCAUAAUAAUCCAUCUCACCCUUUGUGCAUCACCGCGUGGGCACCCUUCGGGAUCAUCUCGGAGGGGGGCUCGCGUUUUCACACAAACCCCCCUUUUAAAAGUGUAGAAUGACCACAUUUAUGCAAUCAAUACAACUUUCAACAACGGAUCUCUUGGCUCUC